Molecule: ribosomal RNA, 259 nt
Filed under: uncultured prokaryote
Description: partial 16S ribosomal RNA
Rfam family: Bacterial small subunit ribosomal RNA
Source: RNAcentral
UACGGAGGAUGCGAGCGUUAUCCGGAUUUAUUGGGUUUAAAGGGUGCGCAGGUUGUUUGAUAAGUCAGUGGUGAAAGUCUGUCGCUUAACGGUAGGAUUGCCAUUGAUACUGUUGGACUUGAAUAUGGAUGAGGUAGGCGGAAUGUGUAGUGUAGCGGUGAAAUGCAUAGAUAUUACACAGAACACCGAUUGCGAAGGCAGCUUACUAAACUACUACUGACGCUCAGGCACGAAGGCGUGGGGAUCAAACAGGAUUAGA